UCACUUUAGCAGUGCAUAUACUAAGAUUGGAAUGAUACAGAGAAUAUUAGCAUGGACCCUGAUCAAGGAUGGCACACAAAUUUGUGAAGCUUCCUGACAAUAC
This 103-nucleotide small nuclear RNA is filed under the name Castor canadensis (American beaver). The record is from RNAcentral. Lineage: Eukaryota; Metazoa; Chordata; Mammalia; Rodentia; Castoridae.